GACCGCGGGGAGUCGCCGCCGGCCGCCUCGAUGGCCUUGGCGACGGCGAUGGCCUUGCCGAACGUGCACAGCAGCUGCCCGGCCACGCCCCGGCAGCACUCCGCCGCCGGCCCCCGCCCGAGCAGCUGCUCCUCGUCGCCGGCCGGCGGCAGCUCGCCGAGGAGCCGCCUGACCUGCGCCUCCCCGUCGGCCAGGAUGGUCAGGAGCAGAUGCAUGCUAUUGCCGUCCCCUCCUCCUCCUCCUCCUCCGCCAACGUCCUGCAUGGCCAGCUAGCUCGAUCGCCGGCAAUGGCAGCUGGCUUUCAGCCGGGAAGGAAGCACGAGGAGGAAUGCUAUGCACCAAGGAAGGAUCACGGCCGGCGAGUUGGAGUUCGAGGUCGAAGAAACCGAGGAGAGAAGUAGAGGAGGCGAGAUCUGACGGUAGAUCGACGACGAUGAUGAUGUGGUGGUGGUGGCCACGGGCCGCUGGAUCGCAUAUAUAUGCUUGCUGAGCCGAAUUGCUGAUGCAGUUGCGGCCGGUCAUAAUGUUUGACCCAGGGAAAGGGAGACCGAGUUUUUUCG
RNAcentral lists this long non-coding RNA (560 nucleotides) under Hordeum vulgare. RNAcentral describes it as "long non-coding RNA (HVUL_LNC017714)". The record is from RNAcentral. Lineage: Eukaryota; Viridiplantae; Streptophyta; Magnoliopsida; Poales; Poaceae.